GCGCCUGUAGCUCAGCUGGAUAGAGCAACAGACUACGAAUCUGUAGGUCGAGAGUUCAAUUCUUUCCAGGCGCU
This 74-nucleotide transfer RNA is filed under the name Moramonas marocensis. RNAcentral's name for it is "tRNA-Arg". It matches the Rfam family "tRNA". Rfam says of the family: Transfer RNA (tRNA) molecules are approximately 80 nucleotides in length. The record is from RNAcentral. Lineage: Eukaryota; Jakobea; Jakobida; Moramonadidae.